RNAcentral lists this ribosomal RNA (433 nucleotides) under uncultured Lachnospiraceae bacterium. Its description in RNAcentral is "partial 16S ribosomal RNA". It matches the Rfam family "Bacterial small subunit ribosomal RNA", at positions 342 to 792 of the family's 1533-position model. The record is from RNAcentral. Lineage: Bacteria; Bacillati; Bacillota; Clostridia; Lachnospirales; Lachnospiraceae.
AGGGAGGCAGCAGUGGGGAAUAUUGCACAAUGGGGGAGACCCUGAUGCAGCGACGCCGCGUGAGUGAAGAAGUUAUUCGUAAUGUAAAGCUCUAUCAGCAGGGAAGAAAAUGACGGUACCUGACUAAGAAGCCCCGGCUAACUACGUGCCAGCAGCCGCGGUAAUACGUAGGGGGCAAGCGUUAUCCGGAUUUACUGGGUGUAAAGGGAGCGUAGACGGCUGUGCAAGUCUGAUGUGAAAGGCAGGGGCUCAACUCCUGGACUGCAUUGGAAACUGUAUGGCUCGAGUGCCGGAGGGGUAAGCGGAAUUCCUAGUGUAGCGGUGAAAUGCGUAGAUAUUAGGAGGAACACCAGUGGCGAAGGCGGCUUACUGGACGGUAACUGACGUUGAGGCUCGAAAGCGUGGGGAGCAAACAGGAUUAGAUACCCUGGUA